This 1342-nucleotide ribosomal RNA is filed under the name Melanogrammus aeglefinus (haddock). RNAcentral describes it as "SSU rRNA". It matches the Rfam family "Eukaryotic small subunit ribosomal RNA", at positions 490 to 1823 of the family's 1831-position model. The record is from RNAcentral. Lineage: Eukaryota; Metazoa; Chordata; Actinopteri; Gadiformes; Gadidae.
ACUCUUUUCGAGGCCCUGUAAUUGGAAUGAGUGUACUUUAAAUCCUUUGGCCAAGUACCGAAUGGAGGCAAAGUCUGGUGCCGCAGCCGCGGGUAAUUCCAGCUCCAAUAGCGUAUCUUAAAGUUGCUGCAGUUAAAAGCUCGUAGUUGGAUCUCGGGGCCGGUUGCUGACGGUCGGCGAAAGGCGUGCCACCGACUGUCCCGGCCCUCCCUCGGCGCCCCUCGAUGCUCUUGGUUGAGUGUCUUGCCGGUUUCGAAGCGUUUACUUUGAAAAAAUAGAGAGUGUUCACAGCAGAACCCCGUUACUAAUACUGCAGCUAGAAUUAAGGAAGUAGGACUCCGUUCUAUUUUGUGGGUUUUCUCAAUGGACUGGGGCCAUGAUUAAGAGGGACGGGCGGGGGCAUUUCGUAUUGCGCCGCUAGAGGUGAAUUCUUGGACGGCGCAAGACGGACGAAAGCGAAGCAUUUGGCCAAGAAUGUUUUUCAUUAAUCAAGAACGAAAGUCGGAGGUUCGAAAGACGAUCAGAUUACCGUCGUAGUUCCGACCAUAAACGAUGCCGACUAGCGAUCCGGGCGGGUUAUUUCCCAUGACCGGCCGGGGCUACCUCGCGGAGAACCAAAGUCUUUGGGUUCCGGGGGAGUAUGGUUGCAAAGCUGAAACUUAAAGGAAUUGACGAGGAGGCACCACCAUGAGUGGAGCCUGCGGCUUAAUUUGACUCAACACGGGCACCUCACCCGGGCCGGGAACGGACAGGUAUUGACAGAUUGAUAGCUCUUUCUCGAUACUGUGGGGUGGGUGGUGCAUGGCCGUUCGUAGUUGGUGGAGCGAUUUGUCUGGUUAAUUCCGACAACGAACGAGACUCUGGCAGGCUAAAUAGUUACGCGGCCCCGUGCGGUCGGCGUCCAGAACUUCUUAGAGGGACAAGUGGCGUACAGCCACACGAGAUUGAGCAAUAACAGGUCUGUGAUGCCCUUAGAUGUCCGGCUGCUUGACGGCGCGCCACACUGAGCGGAUCAGCGUGUGCCCUGCCCUUCGCCCGACAGGCCGUGGGUAACCCGCUGAACCCCGCUCGUUGAUGGGGAUUGGGAGAUUGCAACUAUUUCCCAUGAACGAGGGAAUUCCCAGGUAAGCACGGGUCACAAGCUCGUGUUGAUUAAGUCCCUGCCCUUUGUACACACCGCCCGUCGCUACUAUCCGAUUGGCUUGGCUUAGUGAGGUCCUCGGGAUCGGCCCCGCCGGGAGUCUUCACGGCUCUGGCGCCGCGUGCCGAGAAGACGAUCAAACUUGACUAUCUAGAGAAGUAAAAAGUCGUAACAAGGUUUCCGUAGGUGAACCUGCGGAAG